AGUUGAUAUAUAAAAUUANNAAAAUGAUUAUAUAUAUCAUAAGGCGGUGGCACAGAAUCGGAGGCCCCGACUGUUUACUAAAAACACAACACAGUGCAAUCAUUAAUAUGAUAGUAUACUGUGUGAAAUUUGCCCAAUGCCAUAAACAUAAGAUAAUUUAUGUUUAGUAAAUUAUCGAAAGUGUGGUUAAUAGCGGUCUUAACUAUGAGGAUCCUAAGGUAGCAAAAUAAAUUGGCCAUUAAAUGUGGUCCAGUAUCAAUAAUGUAACGAUGGCCUCACUGUCUCUACAACUUGCUCAGUGAAAUUGAAUUACGCGUGCAGAUGCGCGUUGCCUCCAGGGGGACGGGAAG
This 350-nucleotide ribosomal RNA is filed under the name Agaricus bisporus (cultivated mushroom). Its description in RNAcentral is "LSU rRNA". It matches the Rfam family "Bacterial large subunit ribosomal RNA", at positions 1720 to 2087 of the family's 2925-position model. The record is from RNAcentral. Lineage: Eukaryota; Fungi; Basidiomycota; Agaricomycetes; Agaricales; Agaricaceae.